GGUGGCAGGCCCACCGGGAUCUGCUGUCGGAAGUCGGUCCCAAACAACCCCGGCUGCUGUGGUAAAGAGCCAUGGUAGCAGGGAAAGAUCAUCAGAAGUUC
Molecule: non-coding RNA, 101 nt
Organism: Escherichia coli 53638
Lineage: Bacteria; Pseudomonadati; Pseudomonadota; Gammaproteobacteria; Enterobacterales; Enterobacteriaceae
Source: Rfam